GAGUUUGAUCAUGGCUCAGGACGAACGCUGGCGGUGUGCUUAAUACAUGCAAGUCGAACGGCCCUUCGGGGCAGUGGCGGACGGCUGAGUAACGCGUAGGUAACGUGCCUCUUACUGGGGGAUAACAUCGGGAAACCGGUGCUAAUACCGCAUAAGUCACGAGUUGAAAUACUUGUGAUUAAAGAAUUUCGGUAAGAGAUCGGCCUGCGUCUGAUUAGCUAGUUGGUAGGGUAAUGGCCUACCAAGGCGAUGAUCAGUAGUUGGUCUGAGAGGAUGACCAGCCAGAGUGGGACUGAGAACGGCCCACACUUCUACGGAAGGCAGCAGUAGGGAAUUUUUGCGCAAUGGGCGAAAGCCUGACGCAGCAACACCGCGUGCGGGAUGAAGGCCUCGGUUGUAACGACUGUCGGCAGGGAAGUAAAUUAGACUGUACCUGCAAAGGAAGACACCGGCUAACUACGUAGCCAGCAGCCGCA
Molecule: ribosomal RNA, 476 nt
Filed under: uncultured bacterium
Lineage: Bacteria
Description: bacterial SSU rRNA
Rfam family: Bacterial small subunit ribosomal RNA
Source: RNAcentral